This is a non-coding RNA of Arvicanthis niloticus (Nile rat), 109 nucleotides long. The record is from RefSeq and is a predicted model, not a curated record. NCBI's taxonomy places the organism in Eukaryota, Metazoa, Chordata, Mammalia, Rodentia, Muridae.
GUGCUCACUUCGGCAGCACAUAUACUAAAAUUGGAAUGAUACGGAGAAGAUUUGCAUGGCCCCUGCGCAAGAAAAGAUUGAGGAAUGACAUCAACUUUACCAUUGUUAU